AGAAUCAACGCUGGCGGCGUGCCUAACACAUGCAAGUCGAGCGCGAAAGGGGAGCAAUCCCCAAGUAGAGCGGCGAACGGGUGAGUAACGCGUGGGUAAUCUGCCUCCGAGUGGGGAACAACAUCGGGAAACUGGUGCUAAUACCGCAUAACAUCGCCGGGUCUUCGGACCUGACGAUCAAAGCCGGGGACCGCAAGGCCUGGCGCUUGGAGAGGAGCCCGCGUCCGAUUAGCUAGUUGGUGGGGUAAUGGCCCACCAAGGCUUCGAUCGGUAGCCGGCCUGAGAGGGCGGACGGCCACACUGGGACUGAGACACGGCCCAGACUCCUACGGGAGGCAGCAGUGGGGAAUUUUUCGCAAUGGGCGAAAGCCUGACGAAGCAACGCCGCGUGGAGGAUGAAGGCCUUCGGGUCGUAAACUCCUGUCGACCGGACGAAAGUAGGAUGGCCUAAUACGCCGAUCUAUUGACUGUACCGGUGGAGGAAGCCACGGACUAACUCUAGUGCCAGCAGCCGCGUAACG
This 521-nucleotide ribosomal RNA is filed under the name uncultured soil bacterium. RNAcentral describes it as "bacterial SSU rRNA". It matches the Rfam family "Bacterial small subunit ribosomal RNA", at positions 26 to 524 of the family's 1533-position model. The record is from RNAcentral.